AAGACCAUUGUUUCUCCCACUGAAUUACCUUGCCACCCUUGUCAAAAAUCAACUGACCAUAAAAGUAAGGGUUUACUUUCUGGAUACUUAAUUCUAUUUCAUUGAGCUUUUUGUUUUUUUUGACAGAGUCUCGCUGUUGGCCAGGUUGGAGUGCAGUGGUGCGAUCUCAGCUCAGUGUAACCUCCUUCUCCCUGACUCAAGCAAUUCUCCUACCUCAGCCUCCUGAAUACCUGGGAUUACAGGCAUGU
Molecule: long non-coding RNA, 248 nt
Filed under: Pan troglodytes (chimpanzee)
Lineage: Eukaryota; Metazoa; Chordata; Mammalia; Primates; Hominidae
Description: long non-coding RNA NONPTRT011346
Source: RNAcentral